This is a long non-coding RNA of Octopus bimaculoides (California two-spot octopus), 2140 nucleotides long. RefSeq lists it as uncharacterized. The record is from RefSeq and is a predicted model, not a curated record. NCBI's taxonomy places the organism in Eukaryota, Metazoa, Mollusca, Cephalopoda, Octopoda, Octopodidae.
UUUCUGUUUACUGAAACAUUGUUAACAUAAGAUAUAUAUAUAUAAUAUUAUGCAACAGAAAUGUCCUAUCUCUGCAAGAAAUAGGUAUAUGGAGUGGCUUCAACUAAUAUAUUUAUAACGUCAUAUUUAUUUAUUUAUUUAUUAUUCUGAAAACCAAAACAUAUUUAUGAAAGAUAACCUUAAUACCAAGUAGAAUUUCAUAUUUCACACCUUUUGGAAUAUUUUAUUCCAAGUACACCUUGUGUAUGAACUAUAUCAACACUGCUAAACACUGCUAAUAUUAUACAUACAUAUGUGUGUGUGUGUUACUUUAUUUCUCAAGAGUGUUUAUAUGUUUAUAAUAGUUAUAAAACUAAUAUAUGAAUAUUUGUUUCUACACACACACAAAUACACGCAUGGCCAGUUGCUUGACUGUUCAGGAGCAAGCUAAGAUAGCAGUACACUAUGAAGUGUGAAAUUCCAUUGUUUUGGUUCAGAAAUGAUGGCAUACAUGGAAAGGCAAGCAUGCAACACUGCAUCCGGAGACAAUAAAAAGUUGUCACGCAAAGCUGACAACCAUGGGCUCUGUGAAUGAUGCAAGAAGUAGCAGCUGUCCAACCACAUCCCAAUCAGCGGAGAAUGUGGUAACAGUGCAGGAAAUGUUUAAUUGCAGCCUGCAAAAAUCAACACGUCAAGCAGCUUGUGAAAGUGGACUAACAAGACACAAGAACAAAUUGUCAUAAAAGGUGCAAUUUUGGUGACUAUGACAUGAUUGUAAAUUGGUUUUCAAGUCAGCCAGAUGGAUGACAUAGAAAGCUGACAUGCUGCCAGGCCAUGCUACAUUGCACAGGAUUGGAAAGGUGAAACAUCAACAGGGCACUUCUGGAGAAUGGAUGAAUGGAUUUUUUGUGCCUUUAUGCAGCAGUACACACAUGCAUAUGGCUCAGUGGCGCGCGGGAUGGUAACAUGAAGCAUCAACAGGGUGCCACCAAAGAUUUUAAUGUUCUUCUCAGUUCUUUUGCCGAAUUGGACAAAAAGGUUUUCAUGAAAUAUUAUAUGCUACUUAUAAUGCAUAAGUAGUGUCAAUAUUUUAUCAUCAGAAAAUGGCCUAAAACAAAGAUAAAGCCAAGUGCAGUAUACUGAAGUCUGAUUAAUCUGCAUUUUUGGGUGGCCCACAGUCAGCAUCAGAAAUUUUUUUUAGCCAACAACAAUUCAUGGAACCUGAUUAAUGUUUGUUGAAAAUUUGGAGAAAAGUAACAGGAUACUCUUCAAAUUAGGGGCCUUAAUGCUGUAAAAAUGCUUCAAAAAUGCAGUUUAUUUGCCCAUGGGCCCGUAUUAGGUAAGAAGUUGAAAAUGUUUGGGGCCCAUGGCACUCCAUGGAUCUUAUGUAAUGCAUGUGUAAAACUUCAUUAAAAUCAGUUGGGUGGAUCUCAAGUUUUAAUGACAUAACACAUGAUAUAUAGAUAUAUAUACGACAGGCUUCUUUCAGUUUCUGUCUACCAAAUCCACUCACAAGUCUUUGGUUAGCCCAAGGCUAUAGUAGAUGAUUCUUGUUCAAGGUGUCACACAGUGGGACUCAACCCCAAAUCAUGUGGUUGAGAAGCAAGCUUCUUACCACACAGUCACACCUAUGCAGAAUUUUCUCUUUAAUUAAUGUUAUGUUAAUAGAUUUUUCAAAAACCUGUUGUAAUAUGUAAUUUAAAACUAAGUUUAUUCGGAUGGGAUGAAAAAUCCAUGAAAAACAAAUUUACUGGGCUGUGCAGAAUCAUUUAGUUGAGGAAAAUUAUGUUCUAUGCUUUUCAUAUCUAAAGAUAGUCUGAUUUCACAUAAGCAUUAAACAAGCCUUUUAAGUACUUGGCCACAACUCAACCAUUGUACAUAAACCAUUAUAAACUGAUUCAACAUCAUAUAAAAAUAAAUUAAAUUCUCAUUUAAGCAAAGCCUUGACAGCAACCAGAUUGACUAUGCGUACCUUGUCACAGGCUUGAAACCUUUAAAUCCUACUUGUGCAUGCAGUAUUUCCUGUUGUAUAAUACAAGUGAGUGAAAUAAGAGAUAUGACCAACAACUUGCUUCUGACUAAUUCACUUAUCUACUCUAUGACUGUGUCCUUAUGAAACUCAUCAAAUAAAACAGGUGCACAUUUAACAAAAGCUUCUUUA